AUUUUUAUUUUGUUAAGGAGAAAGGGACGCCUUGAUUGUCGUAUUGAUUUUGUUUUCUUUUUGUUCCAACAGAUGGAAACUGAUGAAGAGCUGGAAGGAGUUUAAUGAUGAGUAGACAUUACAACAUUUCUUAUAUUUUCAAGAUGAAGCUGAAAGUCCCAUGCAGGAUGAUGCUUCUCUACAGUGGAUGAUGAAAGCAUGCUGAUUACAAACCCAGGAGAGGAAUAAAGAACAGAUAUUGACAGAAUCAUAUCUAGAGAUGUGGGCCUACUGCACUCCAUACAAGCAAGUGUGCUAAUAUACCAUACUUGGGUUAUCAUCACAGCCCUUUCUUCUGAAAACUAGCCUACAACUUCAUCGAUGAAUGCAGAAGACAUCUACAUGGGACUACGUCUUAAAGAUGCCC
RNAcentral lists this long non-coding RNA (406 nucleotides) under Strongylocentrotus purpuratus (purple sea urchin). Its description in RNAcentral is "uncharacterized LOC115927847, transcript variant X2". The record is from RNAcentral. Lineage: Eukaryota; Metazoa; Echinodermata; Echinoidea; Camarodonta; Strongylocentrotidae.